AGUGAACGCUGGCGGCAUGGUUAAGACAUGCAAGUCGAACGAGAAGCAUUUCUUCGGAUUUGUGGAAAGUGGCGAACGGGUGCGUAACACGUGAGCAAUCUGCCCUAAAGUACGGAAUAGCCUGUCGAAAGAUGGAUUAAUGCCGUAUGUGACUUUUUACCGCAUGGUAAAAAUGUUAAAGCUUGUAAUGGCGCUUUAGGAUGAGCUCGCGGCCUAUCAGCUUGUUGGUGAGGUAAAAGCUCACCAAGGCUAAGACGGGUAGCUGGUCUGAGAGGAUGAUCAGCCACACCGGGACUGAGACACGGCCCGGACACCUACGGGUGGCAGCAGUUUCGAAUCAUUCACAAUGGGCGAAAGCCUGAUGGUGCAAUGCCGCGUGGAGGAUGAAGGCCUUAGGGUCGUAAACUCCUGUCAUUAGGGAGCAACAAGCAGGUUUAUAGCCUGCCCUGAGUUAACCUAAAGAGGAAGAGGUGGCUAACUCCG
RNAcentral lists this ribosomal RNA (483 nucleotides) under uncultured Puniceicoccaceae bacterium. RNAcentral describes it as "bacterial SSU rRNA". It matches the Rfam family "Bacterial small subunit ribosomal RNA", at positions 29 to 505 of the family's 1533-position model. Lineage: Bacteria; Pseudomonadati; Verrucomicrobiota; Opitutia; Puniceicoccales; Puniceicoccaceae. The record is from RNAcentral.